CAGUAGCCGCGGUAAUACGUAGGGUGCGAGCGUUAAUCGGAAUUACUGGGCGUAAAGCGCACGCAGGCGGUUUGUUAAGUCAGAUGUGAAAUCCCCGGGCUCAACCUGGGAAUGGCAGUGGAUACUGGCUCGCUAGAGUGUGUCAGAGGAUGGUGGAAUUCCCGGUGUAGCGGUGAAGUGCGUAGAGAUCGGGAGGAACAUCAGUGGCGAAGGCGGCCAUCUGGGACAACACUGACGCUGAGGCACGAAAGCGUGGGGAGCAAACAGGAUUAGAUACCCCCGUAGUCCCUGUCUCUUAUAC
This 301-nucleotide ribosomal RNA is filed under the name uncultured bacterium. RNAcentral describes it as "partial 16S ribosomal RNA". It matches the Rfam family "Bacterial small subunit ribosomal RNA", at positions 509 to 807 of the family's 1533-position model. The record is from RNAcentral.